GCAAAAGUUUACUUGACCUCAUGUUACUGGAACUAUGGAGUUGUAGAAAGCCACAUGAAUUCUUUAGGGAUCUGACUGCUUAAAAGAGGAGAGCAAUGCCAGUAUUUUGCCACACUGGAGACUGGGAACACAUUGCUGGCUUGUACUCCAUGUUCUAGGACACCAUAUGUGUAACCCAAGAAGUCUGGUUGCUUGCAUCCCACCUCCUGAAGUGACCAUUGCGUUUAUCUUAAAGAUAAUGAAACCAUUGCAAUUGUCUAGAACAACCAAUCAGAGGUCCAUUCAAAAUUAUAGAUGACGAUACAAUCUCUGUUAGCCUGAAGAUUACAUCUGCUUUUUAAUUCUAUGAAGCAGGUCUUGGAUAAAUAACAAGUGACUCUUGGUACAAUUGUAUAAAUUCACCGUAGCUUUACUAAAUGUGCUAUGAUGCAAAGCUUCUUUAGUUGGUUCAG
Molecule: non-coding RNA, 452 nt
Organism: Pelobates cultripes (western spadefoot toad)
Lineage: Eukaryota; Metazoa; Chordata; Amphibia; Anura; Pelobatidae
Source: the annotation of a GenBank genome assembly